CUUGUCAGAAGGCUCCUUGUUGUGUUGCGAAGAUUCCUCUGCCAAGUUAAACUCAGAGACGAUCACUUCAGGUUUCAGGAUGUUUCUGUUGAAGUCACGCGUCUCUGAACCAAUGCCCUUCACUGUCGCAACGCAAAAAUGUUCCACGCCAAUAUGUUGAAAUAUUGGGUUGGCAACUAAGUGGUUGCGGACUUUGCCAAUGCCAUCUAAUGACUAAAUCCACAAACACUUAGUUGCCAACCCAAUAUUACAGAAAACGAAAUAAAUGUCUACCGUUGGCUAUGAAAAAUCGACGGACAAGCGAGAUGCCACGAGAUGCCACGAUUUUUACGGCGAGGAUAAGCAACGAGUGUAGUCGCGAACGGCUACGAAAGAAUGAGACAGAGAGAGAGAAAGAGAGAGAGAGAGAGAAAAAAAAAACGAGACGUGUGAUCCUGUGUUCAAAGGAAACGAUCGAAAAUUGUGAACGCAAAACCAGCUCGUCGAUGAUCUUCGACGGGACACAAGCGAUCAUUACGUUCGAGUAGGAAGAACAUGCUCGUACGAUAUUCUGGACAGAUGGAUCAAGGAUGACAGUGUCUUUUACGCUUGUUGGUCUCGACGAUAAAUUUUCGCCGAUCGACACUCACCGACGCUCUCCGGCGCUGUCAUCGCUUGUAAUAUCCUGAACGAUCUGGAGGGAAUCGCGCUGCCCAUGUAUUUCUUUGGCUCUGGAACCUGUUGCUCGCUUGGUGGAUUAAUGAGAAGUUAAUGUUGCUUCAAUGUAAUGGAGAGCCAAUCAGAGAAAAAUGACUAACAAGUUUACUUACCAAACGUCUUUGAAUUCCUGUUCUGCUUCUUGUUUAUGGCGGAUGGUGGCCGUGACGCUGCAACAUACUAAUAGUACAAUGUUGUACCUUUAUGGUCGAUGGAUUUCACGAAAAAGUGGUAAAAGUAUACGUUUUUUUAAAAAUGAGGUGGACCCACAUGAAACGAUAUAUAUAUAAAAUUGAUAUUUAUCUAUAGAAUUUUGUUAGAAAUUUCCAAGUUUCCAUAACUUUAUAGUAAUACAUUUAAUGUAUAGAAGGAUACAAAAUUUCCUACUGACAUUUCAUUUUAUCUACAAUUUUGUCAAAGUCAUGUUUUAACUAUUUGUACCACUUUCUCUCUCAGCCUGUCGAUCGAUUGAAACGUAAAAAGCUUACUCGUGUUCACAGCAGGAGCGUCACCGGACUCUGUCAUAGUUUGUAGGAAGCGGAAAGCUCGAGAGGGUAUAGCUCCACCACGAUAUCUCGGGUCUUCCUCGUGAUGAAGAGAAGAUUCAUUGUCGACUAUAGAAAGAAGAAGACGUAGCAAUAACAGAAUAAUCAAACGAUAAAAAGAAACUGAUCAUUUUGGUAAAAUACGAUCUUUACUUUGCUC
Molecule: long non-coding RNA, 1401 nt
Organism: Bombus terrestris (buff-tailed bumblebee)
Lineage: Eukaryota; Metazoa; Arthropoda; Insecta; Hymenoptera; Apidae
Exons: 5
Source: RefSeq, a predicted model, not a curated record